Lasiosphaeria miniovina is the source of this 110-nucleotide non-coding RNA. NCBI's taxonomy places the organism in Eukaryota, Fungi, Ascomycota, Sordariomycetes, Sordariales, Lasiosphaeriaceae. The record is from the annotation of a RefSeq genome assembly.
GAUUCCAUGGUGUAGCGGUCAGCACUUCGGAUUCUGACUUUUCCUCCCUCCUCUCUUCCGAGAAUGGGGGACGUCUUUCCGGGACCCCGGUUUGAUUCCGGGUAGGACCU